GGGGCUGACCGGUUUUGACAGCGUGUAGAGGUGGUGAGUAAGCAUGCAGAGCAAUGAUGGCUACGCUCUAUAAUCAGGGACAUCAAAAUUUCAAAUGGCGAAAACAACUACGCUCUCGCUGCCUAAUCGAAGUAUAGUAGAUUAGCUUUAUUUCGGCAACAGUUGCCGAAACGAGACAUCACCCGAUUGUCCUUUUUCCGAGACGUAUCGAACAGGUGGUGCAGGUAAAUCGGAAAUAUGGCAGGGAAAGCCUUGAUACCUGCCGAGACUAUUUAGAGGAUAAGGCUGAGAUUGGUGGUUUCUUGCCUGUCUCAACUCGAAAACCAAGUAGAAACUAAGCAUGUAGAAAGCUCAUUAGUUCCACGUUUGGACGAGGGUUCAAAUCCCUCCAGCUCCACUC
This 400-nucleotide transfer-messenger RNA is filed under the name Duncaniella sp. It matches the Rfam family "transfer-messenger RNA". From Rfam's summary of the family: Bacterial tmRNA, also known as 10Sa RNA or SsrA, is named for its dual tRNA and mRNA-like properties. The record is from RNAcentral. Lineage: Bacteria; Pseudomonadati; Bacteroidota; Bacteroidia; Bacteroidales; Muribaculaceae.